RNAcentral lists this non-coding RNA (91 nucleotides) under Metamycoplasma hyosynoviae. RNAcentral's name for it is "Mycoplasma hyosynoviae TPP sequence". It matches the Rfam family "TPP riboswitch aptamer (THI element)". Rfam says of the family: Vitamin B(1) in its active form thiamin pyrophosphate (TPP) is an essential coenzyme that is synthesised by coupling of pyrimidine and thiazole moieties in bacteria. The previously detected thiamin-regulatory element, thi box was extended, resulting in a new, highly conserved RNA secondary structure, the THI element, which is widely distributed in eubacteria and also occurs in some archaea. Analysis of operon structures identified a large number of new candidate thiamin-regulated genes, mostly transporters, in various prokaryotic organisms. Lineage: Bacteria; Bacillati; Mycoplasmatota; Mycoplasmoidales; Metamycoplasmataceae. The record is from RNAcentral.
UGAAAGAAACAGGGCUGCAAAAUAUUGCUGAGAAAUACCCUCAUUAACUGAUCUAAUUAGUAUUAGCGUAGUGAGUUUCUCUUGUUUUCUU